AUAUGAGAUAUGGCACGUUAAAAAAUUGAGUUUAGGUUAUCUGAAGACUUGAAGAUGUCCAGCUUGUGUCAAAAGAUUGAUUGCUAAUAAAUUAGAGGAUACAAUUGUAAGAGCUCAUGUUAUUGGGUAUCUAAAAGAAUCAACGAUGCUUUUACUUUGCAUAAGAUCACACUAUGAUUGUGAGUUGGCAUAUCAUAUUCUUAGAAAAAUAGUUUAUCCAAAAUGAUGGUAGUGGAAGGUCAGUUGAGCUUGAAGAGAAGGUCUCUGAUGAGCAAAGAGCUAUGGAUCCUCAGAAAUCUAUUAUUCAUAAACCAGUGGUUGAUGUUCCUCCACCACCUCAUAGAUUUAGCAGGGUCUUUUAUCCUCCUGAAAGAUACAUGUGUAUGUUUGCGA
Molecule: long non-coding RNA, 393 nt
Filed under: Elaeis guineensis (African oil palm)
Lineage: Eukaryota; Viridiplantae; Streptophyta; Magnoliopsida; Arecales; Arecaceae
Description: long non-coding RNA (EGUI_LNC034573)
Source: RNAcentral